RNAcentral lists this long non-coding RNA (484 nucleotides) under Vulpes vulpes (red fox). RNAcentral describes it as "lncRNA (ENSVVUG00000008761.1)". The record is from RNAcentral. Lineage: Eukaryota; Metazoa; Chordata; Mammalia; Carnivora; Canidae.
AUGUCUUUUGAUAUAAAGGUGACUUCUAAAUGGGCUAGUAUUUUCCUGGAUUAUACCAAUUUAUUUGUCUCAUAUGUCUUAGGCAAAUUAUCAAUAUAUUUCCAAGCACUUUUCUGUCUUUUCUCAAGAGGAAAAAAUGUCACAAACAUGAGUUCAGGUCUCCGUCAUCCUCCAAUAUCUCUCUCCCUGAAUCGGCUUCAUCUUGUAGAUGAGAAAAGUGACUCGGCCAACACGAUAGUGCUAUCGAAGGCUCACUCAGAAUUGAAGGCUAAUGCCUAUACCACUGUCUGUGAUCAAUGACCAUCGUGGGAAGACGGAGGAAGGUCGGGGGGCAAGCAGGCCUGGGCAUCGGGUGCAAAUGAGAGGCAGUCAGGAAGCCUGGGUGCCAGUCCUGGCCCUGCCAGGGAUGGACUUUCUCAGAGACCCCAGGGGCCGAACUGGCCAUGUCGAGCAAAUAAACCAAACCCUUUGAAAAUGACCUUCA